AAACAAAGUCAAGAACUUCCUCAGGCAUAAAAAGGUAUAAUGACUAUAACCCAGACGUUUCGCCGGUUAAGGCUUCUUCAGUGGGUGAAAAAUUUACAACAAUAUUAAGGCGUCUUUUAUAGGACGACAUGUAUAAAAGACGCCUUAAUAUUGUUGUAAAUUUUUUACCCACUGAAGAAGCCUUAACCGGCGAAACGUCUGGGUUAUAGUCAUUAUACCUUUUUAUGCCUGAGGAAGUUCUUGUUUUAUUUU
Non-coding RNA from Paramuricea clavata, 252 nucleotides. The record is from the annotation of a GenBank genome assembly. Lineage: Eukaryota; Metazoa; Cnidaria; Anthozoa; Malacalcyonacea; Plexauridae.